AUUAACUCAUUAAGGCAGCAACCAUUUGAUUUUCUGGGGGGGGCUAUGGUUUUUUUUUUCUGGACAAAUUUUUUUUUUUCGCCUGCGGCGAAAAACAAUCUAUUUUUUUCGCGACAAGUCGAAAACAAUUUUUUUCUUUCAAUUUUAGCAUUACAUAUAGUGGCAGCUGAGGGUAAAACAAACAAUUUUUUUUUCUCAGAAUCAAAAAC
Molecule: long non-coding RNA, 209 nt
Filed under: Mytilus galloprovincialis (Mediterranean mussel)
Lineage: Eukaryota; Metazoa; Mollusca; Bivalvia; Mytilida; Mytilidae
Source: RNAcentral